UUUUGGCGGCGGACUACACAUGCAAGUCGAGCGGUAGCACAGAGAGCUUGCUCUCGGGUGACGAGCGGCGGACGGGUGAGUAAUGUCUGGGAAACUGCCUGAUGGAGGGGGAUAACUACUGGAAACGGUAGCUAAUACCGCAUAACGUCGCAAGACCAAAGUGGGGGACCUUCGGGCCUCAUGCCAUCAGAUGUGCCCAGAUGGGAUUAGCUGGUAGGUGGGGUAACGGCUCACCUAGGCGACGAUCCCUAGCUGGUCUGAGAGGAUGACCAGCCACACUGGAACUGAGACACGGUCCAGACUCCUACGGGAGGCAGCAGUGGGGAAUAUUGCACAAUGGGCGCAAGCCUGAUGCAGCCAUGCCGCGUGUGUGAAGAAGGCCUUCGGGUUGUAAAGCACUUUCAGCGGGGAGGAAGGCGAUAAGGUUAAUAACCUUGUCGAUUGACGUUACCCGCAGAAGAAGCACCGGCUAACUCCGUGCCAGCAGCCGCGGUAAUACGGAGGGUGCAAGCGUUAAUCGGAAUUACUGGGCGUAAAGCGCACGCAGGCGGUCUGUCAAGUCGGAUGUGAAAUCCCCGGGCUCAACCUGGGAACUGCAUUCGAAACUGGCAGGCUAGAGUCUUGUAGAGGGGGGUAGAAUUCCAGGUGUAGCGGUGAAAUGCGUAGAGAUCUGGAGGAAUACCGGUGGCGAAGGCGGCCCCCUGGACAAAGACUGACGCUCAGGUGCGAAAGCGUGGGGAGCAAACAGGAUUAGAUACCCUGGUAGUCCACGCUGUAAACGAUGUCGAUUUGGAGGUUGUGCCCUUGAGGCGUGGCUUCCGGAGCUAACGCGUUAAAUCGACCGCCUGGGGAGUACGGCCGCAAGGUUAAAACUCAAAUGAAUUUGACGGGGGCCCGCACAAGCGGUGGAGCCAUGUGGUUUAAUUCGAUGCAACGCGAAGAACCUUACCUGGUCUUGACAUCCACAGAACUUUCCAGAAGAGGGAUUGGUGCCUUCGGGAACUGUGAGACAGGUGCUGCAUGGCUGUCGUCAGCUCGUGUUGUGAAAUGUUGGGUUAAGUCCCGCAACGAGCGCAACCCUUAUCCUUUGUUGCCAGCGGUUAGGCCGGGAACUCAAAGGAGACUGCCAGUGAUAAACUGGAGGAAGGUGGGGAUGACGUCAAGUCAUCAUGGCCCUUACGACCAGGGCUACACACGUGCUACAAUGGCAUAUACAAAGAGAAGCGACCUCGCGAGAGCAAGCGGACCUCAUAAAGUAUGUCGUAGUCCGGAUUGGAGUCUGCAACUCGACUCCAUGAAGUCGGAAUCGCUAGUAAUCGUAGAUCAGAAUGCUACGGUGAAUACGUUCCCGGGCCUUGUACACACCGCCCGUCACACCAUGGGAGUGGGUUGCAAAAGAAGUAGGUAGCUUAACCUUCGGGAGGGCGCUACCACUUUGAUAAAGGC
RNAcentral lists this ribosomal RNA (1446 nucleotides) under Klebsiella sp. WB-2. RNAcentral describes it as "bacterial SSU rRNA". It matches the Rfam family "Bacterial small subunit ribosomal RNA". RNAcentral also lists the same sequence under 1 other name. Lineage: Bacteria; Pseudomonadati; Pseudomonadota; Gammaproteobacteria; Enterobacterales; Enterobacteriaceae. The record is from RNAcentral.